Molecule: ribosomal RNA, 694 nt
Filed under: uncultured Pseudomonadota bacterium
Lineage: Bacteria; Pseudomonadati; Pseudomonadota
Description: bacterial SSU rRNA
Rfam family: Bacterial small subunit ribosomal RNA
Source: RNAcentral
UGCUGUUUCGCUGACGAGUGGCGGACGGGUGAGUAAUGUCUGGGAAACUGCCUGAUGGAGGGGGAUAACUACUGGAAACGGUAGCUAAUACCGCAUAAUGUCGCAAGACCAAAGAGGGGGACCUUCGGGCCUCUUGCCAUCGGAUGUGCCCAGAUGGGAUUAGCUAGUAGGUGGGGUAACGGCUCACCUAGGCGACGAUCCCUAGCUGGUCUGAGAGGAUGACCAGCCACACUGGAACUGAGACACGGUCCAGACUCCUACGGGAGGCAGCAGUGGGGAAUAUUGCACAAUGGGCGCAAGCCUGAUGCAGCCAUGCCGCGUGUAUGAAGAAGGCCUUCGGGUUGUAAAGUACUUUCAGCGGGGAGGAAGGGAGUAAAGUUAAUACCUUUGCUCAUUGACGUUACCCGCAGAAGAAGCACCGGCUAACUCCGUGCCAGCAGCCGCGGUAAUACGGAGGGUGCAAGCGUUAAUCGGAAUUACUGGGCGUAAAGCGCACGCAGGCGGUUUGUUAAGUCAGAUGUGAAAUCCCCGGGCUCAACCUGGGAACUGCAUCUGAUACUGGCAAGCUUGAGUCUCGUAGAGGGGGGUAGAAUUCCAGGUGUAGCGGUGAAAUGCGUAGAGAUCUGGAGGAAUACCGGUGGCGAAGGCGGCCCCCUGGACGAAGACUGACGCUCAGGUGCGAAAGCGUGGGGAG